CAAUAGCGUAUAUUAAAGUUGUUGCAGUUAAAAAGCUCGUAGUUGGAUUUCUGGUGGGAGCGAUCGGUCUGGCGCUUAGCGCGAGUACUUGCAUCGUCUCCGGCCAUCCUUGGGGAGAGUCUGUCUGGCAUUAGGUUGUCGGGCAGAGGAUCCUCAUCGUUUACUGUGAAAAAAUUAGAGUGUUCAAAGCAGGCUUAUGCCGUUGAAUAUAUUAGCAUGGAAUAAUAAGAUAGGACUUUGGUACUAUUUUGUUGGUUUGCGCACCAAAGUAAUGAUUAAUAGGGACAGUUGGGGGUAUUCGUAUUCCGUUGUCAGAGGUGAAAUUCUUGGAUUUACGGAAGACGAACUACUGCGAAAGCAUUUACCAAGGAUGUUUUCAUAAA
Molecule: ribosomal RNA, 383 nt
Filed under: uncultured eukaryote
Lineage: Eukaryota
Description: partial 18S ribosomal RNA
Rfam family: Eukaryotic small subunit ribosomal RNA
Source: RNAcentral